AGAGUUUGAUCCUGGCUCAGGAUGAACGCUAGCGGCAGGCUUAACACAUGCAAGUCGAGGGGCAGCAUAAAACAUUGCUUGCAAUGUUUGGUGGCGACCGGCGCACGGGUGCGUAACGCGUAUGUAACCUACCUAUAACAGGGGGAUAACACUGAGAGAUUGGUACUAAUACCCCGUAACAUCAGAGGAGGCAUCUUCUUUGGUUGAAAGUUCCGGCGGUUAUAGAUGGGCAUGCGUUGUAUUAGCUAGUUGGUGGGGUAAUGGCUCACCAAGGCGACGAUACAUAGGGGGACUGAGAGGUUAACCCCCCACAUUGGUACUGAGACACGGACCAAACUCCUACGGGAGGCAGCAGUGAGGAAUAUUGGUCAAUGGACGCAAGUCUGAACCAGCCAUGCCGCGUGCAGGAAGACGGCUCUAUGAGUUGUAAACUGCUUUUGUAUGAGGGUAAAAUUGGGUACGUGUACCUAACUGAAAGUAUCAUACGAAUAAGGAUCGGCUAACUCCGUGCCAGCAGCCGCGGUAAUACGGAGGAUCCAAGCGUUAUCCGGAUUUAUUGGGUUUAAAGGGAGCGUAGACGGGAGAUUAAGUCAGUUGUGAAAGGCUGCGGCUCAACCGCAGCACUGCAGUUGAUACUGGUUUCCUUGAGUGCGGUUGAGGUAUGUGGAAUUCGUGGUGUAGCGGUGAAAUGCUUAGAUAUCACGAAGAACUCCGAUUGCGAAGGCAGCAUACUAAGCCGCUACUGACGUUGAGGCUCGAAAGUGUGGGUAUCAAACAGGAUUAGAUACCCUGGUAGUCCACACGGUAAACGAUGAAUACUCGCUGUUGGCGAUACAAUGUCAGCGGCCAAGCGAAAGCAUUAAGUAUUCCACCUGGGGAGUACGCCGGCAACGGUGAAACUCAAAGGAAUUGACGGGGGCCCGCACAAGCGGAGGAACAUGUGGUUUAAUUCGAUGAUACGCGAGGAACCUUACCCGGGCUUAAAUUGCACUGGACAGGCCAAGAGAUUGGCUCUUCUUCGGACCAGUGUGAAGGUGCUGCAUGGUUGUCGUCAGCUCGUGCCGUGAGGUGUCGGCUUAAGUGCCAUAACGAGCGCAACCCUUGCCAAUAGUUACCAUCAGGUGAUGCUGGGGACUCUAUUGGGACUGCCAUCGUAAGAUGUGAGGAAGGUGGGGAUGACGUCAAAUCAGCACGGCCCUUACGUCCGGGGCUACACACGUGUUACAAUGGGAGGUACAGAAGGCCGCUACCCGGCGACGGGAUGCCAAUCCCCAAAACCUCUCUCAGUUCGGAUUGGAGUCUGCAACCCGACUCCAUGAAGCUGGAUUCGCUAGUAAUCGCGCAUCAGCCACGGCGCGGUGAAUACGUUCCCGGGCCUUGCACACACCGCCCGU
RNAcentral lists this ribosomal RNA (1394 nucleotides) under uncultured bacterium. RNAcentral describes it as "bacterial SSU rRNA". It matches the Rfam family "Bacterial small subunit ribosomal RNA". The record is from RNAcentral.